Molecule: ribosomal RNA, 433 nt
Filed under: uncultured bacterium
Lineage: Bacteria
Description: partial 16S ribosomal RNA
Rfam family: Bacterial small subunit ribosomal RNA
Source: RNAcentral
AACGAACGCUGGCGGCAUGCCUAGCACAUGCAAGUCGAACGAGACCUUCGGGUCUAGUGGCGCACGGGUGCGUAACGCGUGGGAACCUGCCCUUAGGUUCGGAAUAACUCCCCGAAAGGGGUGCUAAUACCGGAUAAUGUCUUCGGACCAAAGAUUUAUCGCCUUUGGAUGGGCCCGCGUUGGAUUAGCUAGUUGGUAGGGUAAAAGCCUACCAAGGCGACGAUCCAUAGCUGGUCUGAGAGGAUGAUCAGCCACACUGGGACUGAGACACAGCCCAGACUCCUACGGGAGGCAGCAGUGGGGAAUAGUGGACAAUGGGCGGAAGCCUGAUCCAGCAAUGCCGCGUGAGUGAUGAAGGCCUUAGGGUUGUAAAGCUCUUUUAACCGGGAUGAUAAUGACAGUACCGGGAGAAUAAGCUCCGGCUAACUCCGUG